Molecule: long non-coding RNA, 2246 nt
Organism: Callithrix jacchus (white-tufted-ear marmoset)
Lineage: Eukaryota; Metazoa; Chordata; Mammalia; Primates; Cebidae
Source: RefSeq, a predicted model, not a curated record
UUCAAGAUGAAUAGCUUCAAGAUUCCUGUGAUUUUUCAUUUCUUUUUUCUUUAAAUAGCAUAUCAGGGUCCCCCAUUUCAGCCUAAAUAGCAUUCACUUCAGCAAUUCAGACCUGUCUGGGUGUGUGUCACAGAAAGGUGGGGCAAGGGUCACUUUGGAAUGGUAUUUUUUUGGGCUGGAGUCUAUACCCUGGAAUGGAAUGGGCUUGGGUUCUUCAGACGUCAGCAGGCUCCUCCCUUGGCUCCAGGUAAAAAGAAGCCGCACACUGAAGCUGCAAGAGCGUUUCAGAAGCUAGAAGAGAUGCGAACAACACGAUUUCAUGCCAGAGAAAAGUCUUUAUCUGGAGAAUCAGAAGUCCAGAAAGUUGAAAAGACUUGCCCAAAGCUACAGUGGAACCGAGGCUUGAACCAAGAUCUCCUGACUCCCAAGCCAGGAUAUUUCUGCUCUGCCAGGGGGCCAUUCCAUCUGAAAAGCUAAAAGCUGAGAGAGGAUAUUUCUACAUUCUAGAAAAUCACCAAGGAUAUGAACCCUGGUCCCUAACGAAUGGAAAGAGACGAGUCAAGAAUCAAAGUUAUAUGAAAGGUCACCACCUUCUAAGGACCCACGUAGCUUCGAGGGAGAUUACAGAGCAAAGGGUCAUGACCGCCUGCUGAGGAAUAGGGUUCAGGCCCUAACCUGACAGUUUCCAUCCUUCAUCUCUCUCCUGUGUCUGAGUGACAGCUGUCCUCAUGUCACUCUCAUCUGUAAUCUACUACGUUUUCCCAGGAGUACCUAAUAGCAGUCAAUCUGAAAAAGGCACCAGAGGGAGCUCCAUGAAUUGGAACAGAGCCUUUGUUUAUGACUUUUACUGGGGGCAGCCCCACAUUCCUUUCCCCAAGAGCCAUAAUAGGUCCCCGAGACCGAAGAGCCUACCUUGCCUUUCUAACCCACACUUCUUUCAGGGGAAGAGAGAUGCUGUACCCAAAACAAGCACUCUACACUUUCUCAUUGGUUCAGAGGGUGUAAGAUGCACCUCUAGCAAUCUAGCCUGUAUUCGUCCAUUUUCACUCUGCUGAUAAAAACAUACCCUAGACUGGAAAAUUUACAAAAGAAAGAGGUUUGAUUGGACUUAUAGCUCUACAUGGCUGGGGAAGCUUCACAAUCAUGGUGGAAGGCAAAGAGGAAAAUGUCCCAUCUCACAUGGAUGGCAGCAGGCAAAGACGUAAUGAGAAAAACACAAAAACAGAAACCUGUGAUAAAACCUCAGAUCUCAUGAGACCUAUCCACUACCACAAGGACAGUACAGGGGAAACUGCACCUGUGAUUCAAUUGUCUCCCACUGGGUCCCUCACAUAAUACACAAGAAUUAUGGAAGUAUAAUUCAAGAUGAGAUCUGGUUGGGGUCACAGAGCCAAACCAUACCAUUCUGCCCCUGGCCUCUGCCAAAUCUCAUAUCCUCACAUUUCAAAACUAAUCAUGCCUUCCCAACAGUCCCCUAAAGUUUUAACUCACUUCAACAUUAACUCAAAAGUCCAGAGUCUAAAGUCUCAUCUGAGAUAAGGCAAAUCUCUUCCUCCUAGGAGCCUGUAAAAUUGAAAGUAAUCUAGUUACUUCCUAGAUAUAAUGAGGGUACAGGCAUUGGGUAAAUAUGGCCAUUCCAAAUGGGAGAAAUUGGCCAAAACACAAGGGUUACAGGCCCCAUGCAAGUCUGAAAUUCUAGUGGUGCAGUCAAAUCUUAAUGAUCUCCUUUGACUCCAUGUCUUACAUCCAGGUCACACUGAUGCAAGAAGUGGGCUCUCAUAGUUUUGGGCAGCUCUGCCCUUGUGGCUUUUCAGGGAAUAGCCUUGUUCUUGGCUGCUUUCAUGGGCUGGCAUUACCUGUCUGUGGCUUUUCCAGGCACAUAGUGCAAGCUGUCGGUGGAUCUACCAUUCUGGGGUCUGAAGGACAGUAGCCCUGUUCUCACAGCUCCACCAGGCAGUGCCCCCACAGGGACUCUGUGUGGGGGCUCCAACCCCACAUUUCCCUCCUGCACUGUUCUAGCAGAGGUUCUCCAUGAGGACCCCACCCCUGCAGCUAACUUCUACCUGGGCAUCCAGGCAUUUCCAUGUAGCUUUUGAAAUCUAGGCAGAGGUUCCCAAACCUCAAUUCUUGACUUCUAUGCACCCACAGGCUCAACACCUCAUGGAAGCUGCCAAGACUACCAUCUAAAGCUAUGGCUCUACAUUGACCCCUUUCAGCCAUAGCUGGAGUAGCUGGGACAUGGGGCA